RNAcentral lists this ribosomal RNA (255 nucleotides) under uncultured bacterium. Its description in RNAcentral is "partial 16S ribosomal RNA". It matches the Rfam family "Bacterial small subunit ribosomal RNA", at positions 524 to 776 of the family's 1533-position model. The record is from RNAcentral.
UACGUAGGGUGCAAGCGUUAAUCGGAAUUACUGGGCGUAAAGCGUGCGCAGGCGGUUUUGUAAGCCAGAUGUGAAAUCCCCCGGGCUCAACCUGGGAAUGGCAUUUGGGACUGCAAGGCUAGAGUGUGGCAGAGGAGACUGGAAUUCCUGGUGUAGCAGUGAAAUUCGUAGAUAUUGGGAAGAACACCGGUGGCGAAGGCGGCGACCUGGUCCAUUACUGACGCUGAGGCGCGACAGCGUGGGGGAGCAAACAGG